AGAGAGAGAGAGAAGAGAGACUCCAGUCGGCUCUCUUGGGAAGUAACAUCCAAUCUACCGGCUACUACCACCUGAUUAAAUCAUAUUCUUUUGGACUAUCGAUCCGUAUUGCUCAGUAAAGGAUACUACUUUAUUAACGAACAGAUUUUUUUUGCAGCAUCCUCUCCUCCGGCACGAGGACUAACUGGCCUUUUAUGUGCCAGAUUAAAAUGGUAACGAUAACGCAGCUAACGUCUCUCUGCGCUCAUUCAUAACUUGUGACAAGUCGUCUUGUGGCUCGGAUGUGCGACACAGAGGAGGGCAGGUCAGGCACGCGGACGCGGUGUCCCUUCAAGAGAGAGAAAAGCUGAACAGGCUCGAGCUGCGGGAGGAAUACAAAUUCUACUUGUGAAAGAAGGAAAAAAAAAAAAAAACGUCCGACAAGAAGAAUGAGACAAGCUGCCGGCGUCGAGCCUUAAAAGCCGAAGAAGAUUUUAGUGUUCUUUGUCGGAAGAGGAUUCCGAGAACCCCCGUGUUUGUGUGUGACCCGCGACUAGAAACGGAGGGAUGACAGUCAAGCUGGACUUUGAGGAGUGUUUAAAAGACUCCCCGCGCUUCAGAGCUGAAAUCGAAGUGGUACAAAACGAUGUGUGUGAACUCGAGACCCGAUUAGAAAAGCUCGUGAAACAAUGCCAGGCCAUGCUGGAGGCAGGCCGAGUCUACUGCCAGACCAGCAAGAGCUUCGUCAACGGCCUCCGGGAUCUGGGACAGCACUGCUCCGGGGACAAGACGAUGGAGGAGUGUUUGGACAAAUUUUCCAAAAAGCUGUCUAUCGUCUUGGAGGCACAGGUGGAUGUGAUUGAAACCACACAGAAGUCAGUCAAGACGAAGCUGCAGAACUUUGUCAAAGAGGAUGUGCGUCGGUUCAAGGACGUGCGCAGGGGGUUUGAGCGUGGCAGUGAGUGCCUGGAGGGGGCGCUGGUGAGGAACGCUCAGGCCCCACGGGGGAAACAACACGAAGUGGAGGAGGCAAGCAAUGCUCUUCUAAACGCACGUAAGACCUUUCGGUCUGAGGCCCUGGAUUACGUCCUGGAGAUUAAUGUCAUUGAGGCCAAGAAGAAGACAGACAUUCUGAUGGCAAUGUUGUCACUGAUGGAGGCCCAGGCUCAGCUCUUCCAACAUGGCCACCAGUCUUUCUCAGAACUGGAGGAAUAUCGACAGAAACUGAAUGAAGAGCACACUCAGUUUGUCCUAAACUCUGCCCGGGAGAAGAGGGACAUGGAGCAAAGACAUGCUGCAAUUAAGAAAAAGGACGUGUCCUAUGAUGACUCCAUCAUGGAUUUCAACGCUGAUGCAGCCAACGGAAUCGCCAUGGAGGGAUACCUUUAUAAGAGAGCCAGCAACGCUUUCAAGACCUGGAGCAGGCGUUGGUUCUCGAUUCAAAAAAAUCAGCUGGUGUAUCAGAAGAAAUUUAAGGACCAGCCCACGGUCGUGGUGGAGGACUUGCGUCUUUGCACAGUCAAGCCCAGCAGUGAAAACGAGAGACGAUUCUGCUUUGAAGUGGUCUCCCCGUCAAAGUGUUGUUUGUUACAGGCAGACUCGGAAAGGCAGCAGAAGGCGUGGAUAAGUGCCGUCCAAAACAGCAUCGCCUCAGCCUUUCAGGAGCACAGAGAGGACCCACACAGCCCAAGACAGCGCCUCAGCUCGGUGUCGGCGAGCAGUUUGGGAGGAGGGGGAGGAGUGGAUCAGGAGAACAAGGGCUGCAAGGCGCUGGAGGAGGUCCAGGCAAUCCCAGGGAACAAGCAGUGCUGCGACUGCGGGGAGCCCGGUCCUGAUUGGGCCUCCAUCAACCUGGGCAUCACGCUUUGCAUCACAUGCUCAGGAAUACACAGGAGCCUGGGAGUCCAUUUCUCCAAAGUACGCUCGCUCACUCUCGACUCCUGGGAGCCAGAGCUCAUUAAGUUGAUGUGUGAAUUAGGAAACACAGUAAUCAACAGGAUCUACGAGGCCCGGAUUGAUGAGAUCACCAUCAAAAAGCCCCACCCCUCCAGUCCCAGAGGAGACAAGGAGUCGUGGAUCCGAUCAAAGUACGUUGAAAAGAAGUUCAUCCAAAAGCUGCCCGGCACCGGCAACACCCUGCUGAGGCGAUCCAGCGCCAAAAGGAACCGAGCGGCCACGCAGGACCGGACCGUACAGCGGCCGCCGCUCAAACCCAAACCGAACCGAGCCACUCUGCCUCGGGUCACAGGGCUGAGCCCCAGUGACCUCGUCCAAAAGAACAAUACACACAAAGACGUGGAAGAGGAUGAAGAGGAUCUGAGCGGCCUUCACCCCGGCGCGCUGCUGUACCGCUCAGCGGCCCUGCAGAACUUCCCUGUCAUGGCCGACGCUUUGGCCCACGGGGCCGACGUCAACUGGGUCAACGUUGCCGAGGAGUCCAGCACGCCGCUGAUACAGGCCGUCUCAGCGAAUGCCCUGGCAGCCUGUGAGUUCCUGCUGCAGAACGGCGCUAACGUCAACCAGGCAGACAGCAACGGGAGAGGGCCGCUUCACCACGCCACCAUCCUGGGUCACACCGGGUUGGUUUGUCUCUUCUUGAAGCGAGGCGCAGACUACAACGCCAGAGACAACAACCAGAAAGACCCCAUAACUAUUGCCGUGGACAAUGCCAACGCUGACAUCGUCACUUUGCUGCGGAUCGCCAAAAUGAACAAGGAGAUGCGGGAGAUGGACGGAGCGUUUGGCCAAUCAGGUCAAUCGGGGGGGCAGGGAUCUGGAGGUUUAUUGAGUGGGAUAGGAGGUGGGCGGGCCCACGGCAGGAAGAGCCUCCAGUCUAUAAAGAACCACAUAAGUGGCUGGGCUCUGGGGGGGCAAAAUGAUUAGUGGGGAUAGAAAUCAGCCCAGGACAAGAGACAGGCAGUGAGACUGGAAUGAGCGUGUUUUUGGUUAAGUAUCAAGUUGUUAAGUAUCAGAAAUCACUGGUUUUGCAAUAUCAUGUGGUGUUUAUCUGCAGUAUCUGCAGAGAAAGUGUCCUGAAAUUGCCAUAAUUAAGAAAGCAUAAAAUCCAAUUCUUGUAAACCAAGAACGAGCCAGAACACAGGGUACGACAGAGGCUCAAGGACAUAAGUGAGACAGAACACAUUUAUUAUAUCGGUGAAGACAGGAAAAUGCCUUUGUGGGAAAGUAACAGGAGUCCACAUUGCACUUUGAAUUACAAACGCACAUCCUCCUGCACUUUGAAGCCCACAAAAUCUCUGAAUACCGUGUCAAUAGAGAGUGCUGCGUGUGAGUGUUUCCAAUAUUGUACAUCUGAGGUUUAAGAAAAUGUAUAUACACUAGACCUAAAUCAGGCCUAUUCUUUCUGAUAUUGUAUAUUGGGGAUAUUUUAUAUACAGGAUGUACAAUGUUCUGGCUUUAUAAGAGAUUUUUUUUUUUUUAUUGUGCAUCUCCAUGUGUACUGGACUUUUUUAGUCUAGUUAUGUAAGCUAAAUUCAAUGCCGGGUUUGGUUCUCAAGGACAGUUUUAUCCUGCUAUUCUGUGAAUAGUUUGAAAUCUGUUAUAUAUAUUUUGUAUUUAUCAGAAUUCCAUGAGCUCUGUGCUGCAGCUCUUGAGCUUAACAAGGGUUUCGUUUGCAUUUUGUCAUUUGGCUCCUUUUCAAGCUGCAAAGUCCAUUCUUUCAUGACUGUCCUUUAGUGGCUAUCAAAGCUUUUUGUUAAGUUUCUUGUGUCAGCCGUAUUCCAUCACGGUUUCCCUCAUAAAGGAAUGGAAACGUGAUGCUUUUGUCUGCUCGAAACGACUGCUGGUCAGUAUUUGACGUGCUGUGCUUUAUCACUGUGUGUGUCUUUGUUGUGUGCACUCAUGUGCCUUUGCCUUCUGCCCGCUGAGAUGUCCAGCUGGUCUCAACUGCUUGUGCAGUGUGCCACCUACUGCACACUAAGAGGUGAUGAAACCUACCAGGACAUCUUCAGAGACUUUUCACACAUGGCCUCAAACAACCCUGAGAAGCUCAAACGCCGCAGUGCAGACCCCAAAUCUUAACCAGCUGUUGCCUCCUCUUCACACAGCUGUACAAUGUCACAUUUCACACUUGCAUACUUUCAAACGCAUAUAUAGAACGUGCUAGUAUCCAACUCACAGACGUGCAGACACAUUUUCCUUGGCUACCUGCCACAUGUUCAUAGCUCAGCUGGUGUUGACUUCAGAGGGGAUGAACGCUCCGAACAGUGAAUUCAUUGUGCGAACACGUCAGACCAGAACAAUUGUGCCAAGUGAGAACACUGGAGCAGCUUUUUGAGACCAGCAGGAGGUGUCUUUAUGCGUAGCGGAGGGUAACGCCAUCAUUCUGCCAAGAUUUCUUAAUUAAAUCUGGUAAAUCCCGUUUUUUUUAUUUUUGUUUUUUUUAACUAAAAGGGCAGUGUUUUUAUGUUCCUCUGUUAUUUCUAUUGAAUUGUUGGUUACACUUGAAUGUAUCUACAUAAGAGUGACAUGACACUGUCAUGAACGUGUCAUAAACAUUAUAAACAAGUCAUAAACGUUUCUGACAUAACUCUUCUUUUAGUAAGUGUCACUCGGUUUUUGUCAUGACAAGUUAGGGUUAGGGUUCAUGUGUCUUCACUGUCAUGAUCGUCUCAUGUCACUCUGAUGUCACUCUUAUGUAGAUACCUUCAAGUAGAGUGUUACCGAAUUGUUACAUGAAAAAGUCAGUGUUUGUUGGAAAUGGACAUAAUCAUUGCAAAGAGGAAAACCUUAUGUCAAAUGUCUUCCAUCGAAUUGUAUAGAUUUUUAAAUGUGGGACAUUUUUAGACACUGUUCACAUGUCUAUUUUGUUAAAACUGUGCAAGGUACUUAAGAUUUGUUUUAUGAUCAAAUAAACUGUGAUACAAAACACG
This is an RNA transcript of Perca fluviatilis (European perch), 4868 nucleotides long. It is a transcript of the gene named ArfGAP with coiled-coil, ankyrin repeat and PH domains 1, with no coding region annotated. The record is from RefSeq and is a predicted model, not a curated record. Lineage: Eukaryota; Metazoa; Chordata; Actinopteri; Perciformes; Percidae. The transcript is spliced from 23 exons.